Molecule: long non-coding RNA, 1662 nt
Organism: Anser brachyrhynchus (Pink-footed goose)
Lineage: Eukaryota; Metazoa; Chordata; Aves; Anseriformes; Anatidae
Source: Ensembl
AUGAAGGGAAAGGAGACGGGUUACGCGCCAAGGGCCUCCCGCGAAACUCGGAUUUCCCGCCCUCUUUUCAAACCAAAUUUGCAUAGCCACGCCCCCGGGGCGCGCCCCGCCCGCUCCGCCGCCCCAUUGGCCGCCGCCGCCGCCCCCGCCGGCCAACGGGCCGCCGCCGCCACGCCCCGCCCGCUCCCCACUGGCCCGGCCGCCGCCGCGAUUUGCAUGCUGCCCGCGGAUUGGCCGCGGGGGCGAGGCUGGGGAUUCCCCCUCGGACGGGCCGGGAUCCCGGUUCGCCGCCCGCCUGACACUGACAGCUGCGGCGGCGCCCGCCGCAACGUGCCCGGGGGCGGGGCCUGGCGGGGCCACGCCCCCCCCCCCGCAGCCACGCCCCCGCCGCGCCACGCCGGGCUUGGCGCGCCCGCGCUGGACCCGGUCUCGUUCCGGAUCCCGAUCCCGAUCCCGGUCCCGGUGCCGGUGCCGGGUUCCCAGGCGGUACCCCUGCACCGUGGGUGCCUAGGUGGGAAAAGGGCGUCCCUCGUUCUGGGCGCGUUUGUCGUCAGAGGGGGAUAUUCUCCUCCAUUUGGCUCGGGAGAGGCCCUGAUUGUGCUCCCGCACGCGAUUGCUGGCACUGCACAUGAGGAAAGAUACAGGCUGGACGGAAUCCAGAGGGAAAGAAGAGGAAUGAAACACGGUCAGAGAAACGUGCGCUACCACAAGGAACCAUUAGACCCAAACCUAUGGAAAAAAGAAAAGUCUUUUGGAGCAGCAAGACAAAGCAGAAAAACGUUGCUUCCUUCAAAUUCUCUCCACAUUGAGGAGGCACGGGCUUCAACCACAAACAUCUUCAGUCUUCUUCUGGGUUGCCUUUUAUUGUCUUCCUGUGUCGUGCUGUCUUGCAUCUUCAGCACUCCUGCUUUCCGAGCUGUGAUCCUAGGAGCGUGGAGUUCGAUGAAGAUGUGGCUGUCUCAGCUGCCUACAGCACAGGCAGGACAGUGGAGUCUGGUGGCCAAAGAGAAAAUCGCAUCCGCCAUGAUCACCCCUUCCACCGGUGAGGUCUUCAGCAAGCAGCUCUGGCCUUAUAGCUUCUGUUCCAUGUGCACAACAGCCCCACGCAUGUUUCUUCGUGGCUGAACCCCAGCUGGACGUAGUGCUUGCAAGCUCCCGACAGCAGUCCCUGUAUUGUAUUGACUCUAGAAGCGAUGUUAACAGUAUCAAUGUUUUCUCUUGUUGCUCUGGCUCCGGGCUGUGCUUUGUUUGUUGGGGUGCUGAUGCAGAGCCAAGUUUCCUCAUAUGUAGAGCUAAGGGUUGGUAUGAGUAAGGUAAGGUUGAGAAACUGGGGCAGUGCCAGUUGUCCACUCUCCAGGACCCCUCUAUACAAAAUGCAUGCAGGGGUGAUACUAUCUGUCCCCCAAAUCAGCGGAAGAACCAGCUGCAGAUGCAGCUGGAGCAGACAGCUACAGGAACAGCUGCUGAUCAGUCUCUUGAUCUCAGUUUUAAUAUACACCAAGGUCCCUUUUGUCUGUUUUUCUUAUUAUUUACUUAGGUUGGCCUUUCUCAGAACGUCCUCCCACCAAACCAUGACAUUUCCUGCAAUGACUUCAUAGCACUUGGUUUUGCUUUGGUAUCACCAGUCUUUAUCUCUUUAAAAUAAAAAACAUUCUCUUUGCA